CGCUGGCGGCGCGCCUAACACAUGCAAGUCGAUCGAGNACCAGGGCUUCGGCCCUGGGGGCAGCGGCGAACGGGUGAGUAACACGUGGAUAACCUGCCCUCGGCACCGGAAUAGCCCGGGGAAACCCGGAUUAAUGCCGGAUAGCCCCACAUCCCUGCGGGGAACGUGGGAAAAGGUAGCUUCGGCCUCUGGCCGAGGAUGGGUCCGCGGUGGAUUAGCUUGUUGGCGGGGUAACGGCCCACCAAGGCGACGAUCCAUAGCUGGUCUGAGAGGACGAUCAGCCACACUGGGACUGAGACACGGCCCAGACUCCUACGGGAGGCAGCAGUGGGGAAUCUUGCGCAAUGGGCGAAAGCCUGACGCAGCGACGCCGCGUGCGGGAAGAAGGCCUUCGGGUUGUAAACCGCUUUCAGGAGGGACGAAGCCACUCGGGUUAAUAGCCCAGAGGGUGACGGUACCUCCAGAAGAAGCCCCGGCUAACUACGUGCCAGCAGCCGCGGUAAUACGUAGGGGGCAAGCGUUGUCCGGAUUCAUUGGGCGUAAAGAGCGUGUAGGCGGCCAGGUAGGUCGGUUGUGAAAACUGGAGGCUCAACCUUCAGAGGUCGACCGA
This 610-nucleotide ribosomal RNA is filed under the name uncultured soil bacterium. Its description in RNAcentral is "bacterial SSU rRNA". It matches the Rfam family "Bacterial small subunit ribosomal RNA", at positions 34 to 630 of the family's 1533-position model. The record is from RNAcentral.